Molecule: ribosomal RNA, 403 nt
Filed under: uncultured bacterium
Lineage: Bacteria
Description: partial 16S ribosomal RNA
Rfam family: Bacterial small subunit ribosomal RNA
Source: RNAcentral
GACGAACGCUGGCGGCGUGCCUAAUACAUGCAAGUCGAACGCAGUGGGUACGGGUGAGUAACACGUGGGUAACCUCCCAUCAGAGGGGAUAACACUUGGAAACAGGUGCUAAACCGAUACUGAUGGAUGAACCCGCGGUGCAUGAGCUAGUUGGUGAGGUAACGGCUCACCAAGGCCACGAUGCAUAGCCGACCUGAGGGGGUGACAGGCAACAAUGGGACUGAGAGAGGGCCCAGACUCCUACGGGAGGAAGCAGUGGGGAAUCUGCGGAAAUGGACGAAAGUCUGACAGAGCAACGCCGCGUGAGUGAAGAAGGUUUUCGGAUCGUAAAACUCUGUUGUUAGAGAAGCGGUAACUAACCAGAAAGCCACGGCUAACUACGUGCCAGCAGCCGCGGUAAUAC